Molecule: long non-coding RNA, 686 nt
Organism: Cavia porcellus (domestic guinea pig)
Lineage: Eukaryota; Metazoa; Chordata; Mammalia; Rodentia; Caviidae
Exons: 3
Source: RefSeq, a predicted model, not a curated record
UUCCCAAGCUGCCAGGCAGACUGAAACCAUAAUGGCCAAGUGGGGGAUAGGGCGCUGUGAGUGGUGGGUCCCGUUCCAUGGGGAGAGGCCACUGGCAGCCCACCAUGACCCAAGCUUGAGCCAUCGUUGGGGAGAUGCAAGUAAGCUCCACGUCCCAACACCAGCAGCUUGCAGGCCCUGGGCCCUGGCUGAGAUACAACCAGGACAGGAGCUCUGUGGGGGCAAAGUGGCCCCUCCCUGUCUUCAGAGCCUGUUCCCACACCGCAGCCUUGUCCUCAGAGCCACUGAGUAAGAAAGCUGGACACAGAUCAGUGUCCUCGUUUGACACUGGAAGAAAAGGAGGUUCUGAGCUGGGAGGCAAACUGCUUGAGGUCACAGACUUGGUGGGGAUAAGAUCCUCAAGUUCAUGGCCUUCUCUGCACCACAGCGCCAGAUCCAUGGGGCUCAGCUGGGAGAAGGGCAACGAGCUGCCUCUGCAAACACUUUGGCCCCAGUGUGACUGUGGUUAAGCUUGUACACAGCCUGCACUCUUUGAGGAGGAAGCCUCAGGCAGCACCCCAAGGAGAACACCUGCUCUGUCCUGGCUGCCAUGAACUGUGGCCCCACCAUGCCACCCUGCCUUGAAGCCAACUGAGAAUGGAUUGAAAUCUCCAAGAACUGUAAGAAAUAAACCUUUCCUUCCCCAA